This 776-nucleotide ribosomal RNA is filed under the name uncultured bacterium. RNAcentral describes it as "bacterial SSU rRNA". It matches the Rfam family "Bacterial small subunit ribosomal RNA", at positions 74 to 863 of the family's 1533-position model. The record is from RNAcentral.
GCAUCUUCGGAUGUGUAUAAAGUGGCGAACGGCUGAGUAACACGUGGGCAACCUGCCCUUUGCACUGGGAUAGCCUCGGGAAACCGAGGUUAAUACCGGAUACUCCAUAUUUGUCGCAUGGCGAAUAUGGGAAAGCUCCGGCGGCAAAGGAUGGGCCCGCGGCCUGUUAGCUAGUUGGUGGGGUAGUGGCCUACCAAGGCAAUGAUGGGUAGCCGGGUUGAGAGACCGACCGGCCAGAUUGGGACUGAGACACGGCCCAGACUCCUACGGGAGGCAGCAGUGGGGAAUCUUGCACAAUGGGCGAAAGCCUGAUGCAGCGACGCCGCGUGCGGGAUGAAGGCCUUCGGGUUGUAAACCGCUUUCAGCAGGGACGAGGCCGCAAGGUGACGGUACCUGCAGAAGAAGCCCCGGCUAACUACGUGCCAGCAGCCGCGGUAAUACGUAGGGGGCAAGCGUUAUCCGGAUUCAUUGGGCGUAAAGCGCGCGUAGGCGGUCUGUUAGGUCAGGAGUUAAAUCUGGGGGCUCAACCCCUAUCCGCUCCUGAUACCGGCAGGCUUGAGUCUGGUAGGGGAAGAUGGAAUUCCAAGUGUAGCGGUGAAAUGCGCAGAUAUUUGAAAGAACACCGGUGGCGAAGGCGGUCUUCUGGGCCAUGACUGACGCUGAGGCGCGAAAGCUAGGGGAGCGAACAGGAUUAGAUACCCUGGUAGUCCUAGCUGUAAACGAUGGACACUAGGUGUGGGGAGAUUAUACUUUCCGUGCCGCAGCUAACGCAUUAA